Molecule: ribosomal RNA, 236 nt
Filed under: uncultured bacterium
Lineage: Bacteria
Description: partial 16S ribosomal RNA
Rfam family: Bacterial small subunit ribosomal RNA
Source: RNAcentral
GAUCAUGGCUCGGGAUGAACGCUAGCGGCAGGCUUAACACAUGCAAGUCGAGGGGCAGCAUAAUGGAUAGUAAUAUCUAUGGUGGCGACCGGCGCACGGGUGCGUAACGCGUAUGCAACCUACCUUUAACAGGGGGAUAACACUGAGAAAUUGGUACUAAUACCCCAUAAUAUCAUAGAAGGCAUCUUUUAUGGUUGAAAAUUCCGAUGGUUAGAGAUGGGCAUGCGUUGUAUUAG